GAUGAACGCUGGCGGCGUGCCUAAUACAUGCCAGUCGAGCGAACGGACGAGAAGCUUGCUUCUCUGAUGUUAGCGGCGGACGGGUGAGUAACACGUGGAUAACCUACCUAUAAGACUGGGAUAACUUCGGGAAACCGGAGCUAAUACCGGAUAAUAUUUUGAACCGCAUGGUUCAAAAGUGAAAGACGGUCUUGCUGUCACUUAUAGAUGGAUCCGCGCUGCAUUAGCUAGUUGGUAAGGUAACGGCUUACCAAAGCAACGAUGCAUAGCCGACCUGAGAGGGUGAUCGGCCACACUGGAACUGAGACACGGUCCAGACUCCUACGGGAGGCAGCAGUAGGGAAUCUUCCGCAAUGGGCGAAAGCCUGACGGAGCAACGCCGCGUGAGUGAUGAAGGUCUUCGGAUCGUAAAACUCUGUUAUUAGGGAAGAACAUAUGUGUAAGUAACUGUGCACAUCUUGACGGUACCUAAUCAGAAAGCCACGGCUAACUACGUG
Molecule: ribosomal RNA, 497 nt
Filed under: uncultured bacterium
Lineage: Bacteria
Description: partial 16S ribosomal RNA
Rfam family: Bacterial small subunit ribosomal RNA
Source: RNAcentral